CAGUGUUACAGCCCUUUUAGAAUUUGUCUAGCAGGUUUCCAGUUCUCACCAGAAGACCCCC
Molecule: small nuclear RNA, 61 nt
Filed under: Prolemur simus (greater bamboo lemur)
Lineage: Eukaryota; Metazoa; Chordata; Mammalia; Primates; Lemuridae
Description: U7 small nuclear RNA (ENSPSMG00000001123.1)
Rfam family: U7 small nuclear RNA
About the family: Animal histone pre-mRNAs are spliced by a different mechanism than nuclear pre-mRNAs and self-splicing introns. This processing involves the U7 snRNP, which contains only one RNA species: U7. The 5' end of U7 RNA is thought to base-pair to a conserved spacer element downstream of the cleavage site in histone pre-mRNA.
Source: Rfam by way of RNAcentral